UGGGGAAUUUUGCACAAUGGGGGCAACCCUGAUGCAGCGACGCCGCGUGAUUUAGAAGGCCUUCGGGUUGUAAAAAUCUUUUGUAUAGGAAGAAAAUGACAGUACUAUACGAAUAAGGUCCGGCUAAUUACGUGCCAGCAGCCGCGGUAAUACGUAAGGACCGAGCGUUGUCCGGAAUUAUUGGGCGUAAAGCGCGCGUAGGCGGUUUUUUAAGUCUGAUGUGAAAGCCCACGGCUCAACCGUGGAGGGUCAUUGGAAACUGGAAAACUUGAGUGCAGAAGAGGAAAGUGGAAUUCCAUGUGUAGCGGUGAAAUGCGCAGAGAUAUGGAGGAACACCAGUGGCGAAGGCGACUUUCUGGUCUGUAACUGACGCUGAUGUGCGAAAGCGUGGGGAUCAAACAGG
RNAcentral lists this ribosomal RNA (403 nucleotides) under Actinomycetes bacterium. Its description in RNAcentral is "Actinobacteria bacterium partial 16S ribosomal RNA". It matches the Rfam family "Bacterial small subunit ribosomal RNA", at positions 355 to 776 of the family's 1533-position model. Lineage: Bacteria; Bacillati; Actinomycetota; Actinomycetes. The record is from RNAcentral.